Molecule: ribosomal RNA, 325 nt
Filed under: uncultured eukaryote
Lineage: Eukaryota
Description: partial 18S ribosomal RNA
Rfam family: Eukaryotic small subunit ribosomal RNA
Source: RNAcentral
CCCUUAGAUGUUCUGGGCCGCACGCGCGCUACACUGAUGCAUUCAACGAGCCUAUCCUUGACCGACAGGUCCGGGUAAUCUUUGAAUCUGCAUCGUGACGGGGAUAGAUUAUUGCAAUUAUUAAUCUUCAACGAGGAAUGCCUAGUAGGCGCAAGUCAUCAGCUUGCGUCGAUUACGUCCCUGCCCUUUGUACACACCGCCCGUCGCUCCUACCGAUUGGGUGUGCUGGUGAAAUGUUCGGAUCGGCCGUUUGUCGCGGUUUCCGCGUCAUGUGGCUGAGAAUUUCAUUAAACCCUCCCACCUAGAGGAAGGAGAAGUCGUAACA